This 121-nucleotide transfer RNA is filed under the name Cercospora zeae-maydis SCOH1-5. RNAcentral's name for it is "tRNA-Asn". It matches the Rfam family "tRNA". From Rfam's summary of the family: Transfer RNA (tRNA) molecules are approximately 80 nucleotides in length. Their secondary structure includes four short double-helical elements and three loops (D, anti-codon, and T loops). Further hydrogen bonds mediate the characteristic L-shaped molecular structure. tRNAs have two regions of fundamental functional importance: the anti-codon, which is responsible for specific mRNA codon recognition, and the 3' end, to which the tRNAs corresponding amino acid is attached (by aminoacyl-tRNA synthetases). tRNAs cope with the degeneracy of the genetic code in two manners: having more than one tRNA (with a specific anti-codon) for a particular amino acid; and 'wobble' base-pairing, i.e. permitting non-standard base-pairing at the 3rd anti-codon position. The record is from RNAcentral. Lineage: Eukaryota; Fungi; Ascomycota; Dothideomycetes; Mycosphaerellales; Mycosphaerellaceae.
GGCUAGUUAGUAUAGUAGUAUUAUCCUAGGUUAUUAUCGGCUUAUAUAAGUAGUUAAUUCGCACUCUUCUAUUUUUACGACCGCGUACUAGGGGUUAUAGGUUCGAUUCCUAUACUAGCCG